CGUAGGGUGCGAGCGUUGUCCGGAAUUAUUGGGCGUAAAGAGCUCGUAGGCGGUCUGUCGCGUCGGUCGUGAAAACUUGGGGCUUAACCCUGAGCUUGCGGUCGAUACGGGCAUGACUGGAGUUCGGCAGGGGAGACUGGAAUUCCUGGUGUAGCGGUGAAAUGCGCAGAUAUCAGGAGGAACACCGGUGGCGAAGGCGGGUCUCUGGGCCGAUACUGACGCUGAGGAGCGAAAGCGUGGGGAGCGAACAGGAUUAGAUACCCUGGUAGUCCACGCCGUAAACGGUGGGCGCUAGGUGUGGGGGCCAUUCCACGGUCUCUGUGCCGUAGCUAACGCAUUAAGCGCCCCGCCUGGGGAGUACGGCCGCAAGGCUAA
This 375-nucleotide ribosomal RNA is filed under the name uncultured organism. Its description in RNAcentral is "bacterial SSU rRNA". It matches the Rfam family "Bacterial small subunit ribosomal RNA", at positions 526 to 897 of the family's 1533-position model. The record is from RNAcentral.